Long non-coding RNA from Saccostrea cuccullata (small rock oyster), 383 nucleotides. RefSeq lists it as uncharacterized. Lineage: Eukaryota; Metazoa; Mollusca; Bivalvia; Ostreida; Ostreidae. The record is from RefSeq and is a predicted model, not a curated record. The transcript is spliced from 4 exons.
UUUUGUUUCACUUCUGAUUAUGUCAAUCACAUCUGUGUUUGUAAGACUGGUCUAGGAGGGCCUAAUUGUGAAAAGAAAGUAAAACCUAAACCAAUACCAAGACAAAGUACAAAUUCAACAAAUACUUCUCCUGUAUUUGUGGAUACAAUGUUGCCGAAGGAGAUCGUGUGCUAUACAGCACAAGAUUGUCUAAUCACUUUGCCAGUCGAUGGACAUCCUGUAAAUGAGAGCUCACUUCUCUUUGGACAUUUGGAUAAAGGAAUAAGUCCUCAAAGUAUUGAACUAGAGAACAUAACAAGCCCUCUUAAUCAAAGCAUCGCGCACUUCCAUGUAAUACCAUCUGAAUCUGGGACUAAACAUGUUUGUGUUCAAACCAGAAACUU